RNAcentral lists this transfer RNA (73 nucleotides) under Canis lupus familiaris (dog). It matches the Rfam family "tRNA". Rfam says of the family: Transfer RNA (tRNA) molecules are approximately 80 nucleotides in length. Their secondary structure includes four short double-helical elements and three loops (D, anti-codon, and T loops). Further hydrogen bonds mediate the characteristic L-shaped molecular structure. tRNAs have two regions of fundamental functional importance: the anti-codon, which is responsible for specific mRNA codon recognition, and the 3' end, to which the tRNAs corresponding amino acid is attached (by aminoacyl-tRNA synthetases). tRNAs cope with the degeneracy of the genetic code in two manners: having more than one tRNA (with a specific anti-codon) for a particular amino acid; and 'wobble' base-pairing, i.e. permitting non-standard base-pairing at the 3rd anti-codon position. Lineage: Eukaryota; Metazoa; Chordata; Mammalia; Carnivora; Canidae. The record is from Rfam by way of RNAcentral. RNAcentral also lists the same sequence under 1 other name.
ACCUGGCUGGCUCAGUCGAUAGAGCACGUGACUUUUGAUCUUGGGUUCAUGAGUUUGAGCCCCAUGCUGGGUG